CAGGUGUUCUUCAUACCUGCCUCUACCCAACCUCUGGGUAACGGCAGAUUAAAUUAAGCAUAUCACCUUUCCCGUAACAUUUAUUUUUCCACAGUAAUCACGCAAGACUUUUAAUAAAAGUAAAUCAGCUUCGAUUAGGAGUGGUUUCAUGGUACCCUUAGCCUACAAAAGCCCCGUAGUGAACAGGAGAGCAACAAUGCUCCGGAGGCCGCCCCGCUGAGCAUCCCGUCCCGCCUCACGGCACGGACCUGGGAGAGGCCGAGCCCUCCCCGGGACACCCCCGUCCCCUGAGGGAACCCAGCUGGGCACCGGCCCCAGGAGAAAAACCUCCCCACAGCCACACCGGCAUCCCAGACCGCUGCUUCUGCCUAGAAAAGGGCUAGAGGUGGCCAGCCGCCAGCCCGCAGCGACCUACGCCAUGAGCGGCCUCCUCCCUCCCCUCAUCGCUGAGGCGGCCUCUCCCUUUCCCACAAUCCCCUGCGGCAGCAGCAUCCGCCCGGCCUGGCGGCGGAUCCCGGCGUUCAUCCAUCGCUCGGCCGAUCGGCUGCUUCCCCCUCGCCGCCCGUUGCUAGGCAGGCCCGGACGCAGCUGCCGCCGUUUCCUGCCCGCUCGGGGGCGGCCGGCGGCGGGACGCGGCGCCCACCCUCCCUCUCCUUCCCCGCCAUGGAGGGUGACAAGAGAAGAACCAGAGAAGAUACUUGGAAAUCAGAAGAACUGUGGAAACAUCUCAGGGCAUCACAACCAGAUAGUCAAAAUGAAGACCAAAAGCACAGAGAAAAGAAACUGCAGAAAGAGAAGUCUGUUUAUGACACAGACACUCAUAAACAUGAACGCAAAGACAGAGGGAAGAGCAAGGAAAGAACAAAAGACAGAGAGCGAUUUAGAUCUGGUGAAAGAGACAGGGAUAAAAUGAGAGAGAGAGAAAGGGGAAAAGAGCACCAGAGAGAAGGAGAGCGAGAGAGAUACAAAUAUAAGCUUCGAGAGUCAAGUAUGGAGAAAGACAAUUACCACAUACCAAAAGAUAAAGACAAGGAGAGCAAUAGGGAACAGGAUAAAAAACAUAAAAGACAUGAGAUAAAGCAAAUAGAUACACAAAAUAAUCUGAAGUCAUUUGAAGGAAGAGAUAAAGAACAUCACAGAAGAAGAGAAAGCAGGCAUCAUUUGGGUAAGUUGGUUUGGGUUGCUCUUGUACUUUGAAAUAUUUGAUAUUUAGAUAGAAAUACUCUGAAAGCAUGCCUUACCUGGACAGAGAGGAUAAAGA
RNAcentral lists this long non-coding RNA (1261 nucleotides) under Calidris pugnax (ruff). RNAcentral's name for it is "lncRNA (ENSCPUG00000019218.1)". Lineage: Eukaryota; Metazoa; Chordata; Aves; Charadriiformes; Scolopacidae. The record is from RNAcentral.